AACGCUAGCUACAGGCUUAACACAUGCAAGUCGAGGGGUAGCACGGAGGAAGCUUGCUUCCUUGGGUGACGACCGGCGCACGGGUGAGUAACGCGUAUCCGACCUACCCAUAACACGGGCACAGCCGCUCGAAAGAGUGAUUGAUUCCCGAUAUGUCAUUGGAGUAGAUUCAAUGAUGAAAGAUUUAUCGGUUAUGGAUGGGGAUGCGUAAGAUUAGGUAGUAGGCGGGGUAACGGCCCACCUAGCCGACGAUCUUUAGGGGUUCUGAGAGGAAGGUCCCCCACACUGGUACUGAGACACGGACCAGACUCCUACGGGAGGCAGCAGUGAGGAAUAUUGGUCAAUGGGCGGAAGCCUGAACCAGCCAAGUAGCGUGAAGGAUUACAGCCCUACGGGUUUUAAACUUCUUUUAUAUGAGAGUAAUGUGCGCUACGUGUAGCGUAUUGCAAGUAUCAUAUGAAUAAGCAUAGGCUAACUCCGUGCCAGCAGCCGCGGUAAUACGGAGGAUGCGAGCGUUAUCCGGAUUUAUUGGGUUUAAAGGGAGCGUAGGCGGGAUAUUAAGUUAGUCGUCAAAGCCUGUGGCUCAACCACAGCCCGCGAUUGAUACUGGUAACCUUGAGUGCGGAUGAGGUGGAUGGAAUUCGUGGUGUAGCGGUGAAAUGCUUAGAUAUCACGAAGAACUCCGAUUG
This 689-nucleotide ribosomal RNA is filed under the name uncultured bacterium. RNAcentral's name for it is "bacterial SSU rRNA". It matches the Rfam family "Bacterial small subunit ribosomal RNA", at positions 32 to 715 of the family's 1533-position model. The record is from RNAcentral.